CACUAUGUUGACCAGGCUGGUCUUGAACUCCUGACCUUGUGAUCCACCCUCCUUGGCCUCCCAAGUGCUGGGAUUACAGGUGUGACCCACCAUGCCGGGCCCUUUUUCUUUUCAGAGCAAAGAGAUCCUCAGCAAGAAUCCAGAUCCUUGAUUUUAAACUCUGGCUUCAUUAACUUCAGUCAAACUUCACCUGUUUACCUGAAGGCUCGGGGCACAGCUACCUGCUCUAAUCAUGGGAAAGGCCGCCUAAGAAUGCACCUGUGUACAUAUCCCAUGUGGUGGAUGUAGUCGAGGGCCUUCAGGACCCCCUGCAGAAUGUAAGCGAUCGCCAGCUCAUUCAUGCCAUCCAUGAAGUGUGUACAGAUGAGAUCCUUUGCAGAACCUGGAGAGAAGAAUUGCACGGAGGCAGUGAAAGUUCCUUCUCAGCCAACCUUUCUGACUCACUAUGGCCAGGACACCAGAAACAUGCAGCCACAAAGGAAAGAUGGCAACAGAGCUUCUCUCCUGGAAGUCUGAUCUCUUCCCAUACUUGGCAGGAAAAAACAGAGGAGACUCACAGAAGCAAGUCUGUGCCCAUGAAUCCUCCUAACUAGCGGACAGCCUCUGCUGUACACACAUCUGGGGCUGCUGAGAAAGCUGCAGCAGCCCCUGGAGCAGGAGAGCAGGAGAGUAAGGACAGUGCCCGCGCAUACCUAUCACAGUGAGCAGCUCGUAACACCCUCCCUCUGGCAGAAAGCUACUCAUGACCUCCUGUUUAGAGAAGGAUGCUAUUGACUCUGAGCUUGCAUCAUUGGUCUAAAAAAGAAAAAAAAAAAAAGAUUCUCUUUCUUUAGAUGCACAUCCAACUGAAAUGGAGAAACCUGGGCCAGCUCAUGUUUCAUGUGCUGCACUCAUAAACCUGACCUCCAGGCAGAAAAAGUCCUUUGUGAAAGUAUGAGAGGCUCCUGGCCCAGCACUACCCAGAAGAGCACGAGCUGAGAGUGUUCUGACAAGGCGGUGCUUGAACAACUCUUUGGGAAGCGGCUGGCAGAAGAAACCAUAAAGAUGACAGUGCUCUAUAUCUGUUAGAUGACCAGGGUAUACUUUUGCACAUGAUCUCCUCCAUAGCUCAGUGACAGAUCCGGGACAUAGCCGGGACAGAUCUUAUCUCCACUUUUCACUAACAAAAACGAGGGCCAAGGAGAUUAAGUGACUUGCCAAAAAUCAAAACGUGAGUACACAGCACAGGACCCAGGCCCAAGCCAGUGAAAUUAAUCUACCACCCUGUUGGCUGACAUUUCACGUGUAUCUGGUUUAUUUGUUGAUUUGUUGCUGUUGUUUUUAAGCAAUGGGGUCUCUCUCUGUCGCUCAGGCUAAAGUGCAGUGGUGAGAGCCUGGCUCACUGUGGCCUUGAACUCCCAGGCUCAAUUGAUCCUCCUGCCUCAGCCUUCCAAGUAGCUGCGAUUACUGGCUGUAUGUGGUUUCAAAACAGCUGAUGCUGCUGAUGGGGAAAGAAACCCCCAGGCGGGCUCUGUCUCCCUCACCACUUACCCUGACAAUAAGAGGAACCUAGUCAAGCAAAAUUAAGCCCUGUCACCAAAUUCCAUUUCUAAUUUAAUCAAUUUUUAUAUUUCUAAGAUUUGGCCAAAUUGUUGUAUUUCACUGUAGUUCACCCAUUUUCACUGCUGUAUAAUAUAUUAAUCACAUGAAUAUAUCUCAGUUUACCCAUUCCAACAUUGAUGGGUCAUUUGGGUUGUUUUUCUGUUCUGCUAUUAUAGACUGUGCUACUAUAAACAUGUUUGAAUAUGUCUCCUGACUAAAGCUUGUACUUAAGAGUGGAUGGAAUUGCUAGAUGACAGAGUAUAUGAACAAUCAAGUUUAUGAGACAACGCCAAAUUAUUUUCCAAAAUGGUUAUACCAAUUUACACUCCCACCAGCGACGUAUGUGUUUUUUGUUUUUGUUUUUGUUUUUAAGACGAAGUCUCAC
Molecule: long non-coding RNA, 1966 nt
Organism: Piliocolobus tephrosceles (Ugandan red Colobus)
Lineage: Eukaryota; Metazoa; Chordata; Mammalia; Primates; Cercopithecidae
Exons: 3
Source: RefSeq, a predicted model, not a curated record